Molecule: ribosomal RNA, 414 nt
Filed under: Uroplatus alluaudi
Lineage: Eukaryota; Metazoa; Chordata; Lepidosauria; Squamata; Gekkonidae
Description: partial small subunit ribosomal RNA
Rfam family: Bacterial small subunit ribosomal RNA
Source: RNAcentral
UAGAUACCCCACUAUGCUCAGCCAUAAACUAUGGUGAAGCCCCCUUUCACCCGCCAGAGAAUUACAGGUAAACAACUUAAAACUCAAAAGACUUGACAGUAUCUCACACCAACCUAGAGGAGCCUGUCCUACAACCGAUAAUCCACGAUUUACCUCACCCACCUUUGCAGUAACAGCCUAUAUACCUCCGUCGCCAGCCCGCCUGACAACAGCAUUGAAAGCGGGUGUAAUAGCUUCGCCACUUAUACGACAGGUCAAGGUGUAGCUAAUAGGUCGGGCAGAGAUGGGCUACAUUUUCUACCCUAGAACACACCUAUAAUGCCAUGAAAGAGGCACUGAAAGGUGGAUUUAGCAGUAAGAGGGGCAAGACCAAGCCCCCCUGAAGUUUGCUCUGAGAUGUGUACACACCGCCCG